Molecule: long non-coding RNA, 241 nt
Filed under: Lathyrus oleraceus (garden pea)
Lineage: Eukaryota; Viridiplantae; Streptophyta; Magnoliopsida; Fabales; Fabaceae
Description: Pisum sativum (pea) long non-coding RNA (PSAT_LNC004650)
Source: RNAcentral
UUCCCAAGUAUUUUGUCAAAAAUCAUCCGUUCUCAUCCCCAGAGAAAUAACAACACAAAUCAAUUACAUAAAAGAAAUAAAUCACCCUCUCCUUCAUGAUUUUGUGUUUGCAAUAAAAACACAUUCACACAACUCUUCAUAAACCACCUAUAACCUUUAAACGUUCAAAAUCAUUAUGCACAAAUCAUUCAUAAAACCAAAAAAAAAAAAAUCAUACAAAAUUCCUCCAUUAUCACCUUCA